This 253-nucleotide ribosomal RNA is filed under the name uncultured bacterium. RNAcentral describes it as "partial 16S ribosomal RNA". It matches the Rfam family "Bacterial small subunit ribosomal RNA", at positions 524 to 776 of the family's 1533-position model. The record is from RNAcentral.
UACGUAGGGUGCGAGCGUUGUCCGGAAUUACUGGGCGUAAAGAGCUCGUAGGUGGUUUGUCGCGUUGUCCGUGAAAACUCACAACUCAAUUGUGGGCGUGCGGGCGAUACGGGCAGACUGGAGUACUGCAGGGGAGACUGGAAUUCCUGGUGUAGCGGUGGAAUGCGCAGAUAUCAGGAGGAACACCGGUGGCGAAGGCAGGGCUCUGGGCAGUAACUGACGCUGAGGAGCGAAAGCGUGGGGAGCGAACAGG